AUUGUUUGCAGAGCUCUAGGGUGUAAGAUUCACCAUGCAGGUGCCUUGGACUUCUCCACAAGAAUGAUCCUACCAUUCCACUCAGUCUCGUCGCAAGCUCGGAUUGCUGCAUCAGCGUCCUCAUCCUUCUCCAGGGAUAAAAAUCCAAAGCCUCGAGAAUCUCCAGUUCGUUUAUCUCGGACAACCCGCACCCUUGUUACACGUCCAAACUUUGCAAAUUUCUUCUCCAACUCUCGCUCUGUGGUGGCAUAG
This 252-nucleotide ribosomal RNA is filed under the name Triticum aestivum (bread wheat). Its description in RNAcentral is "partial small subunit ribosomal RNA". Lineage: Eukaryota; Viridiplantae; Streptophyta; Magnoliopsida; Poales; Poaceae. The record is from RNAcentral.